Molecule: long non-coding RNA, 305 nt
Filed under: Panax ginseng (ginseng)
Lineage: Eukaryota; Viridiplantae; Streptophyta; Magnoliopsida; Apiales; Araliaceae
Description: long non-coding RNA (PGIN_LNC014955)
Source: RNAcentral
AUUCAAUCGCUUGAAUUCCGCUACCAUGCCACGUUGCCCAGGUUGUUGGUUCUGCACUAGCUGAGCUAAAGUAGUAGCCAGCUGAGUCAGACCAUUAGCGCCAAAAUUAGUGUUAGUAGGGUUGCUUCUUCUAGGCGGCAUUUUCCCUACAAAAAGAAAUCCCCACUCAACAACACUGUACAAAACUAAUAACGAAUAAAAUAAAAUACCCAAUUAGCCUCGAGUACCAAACGUCAAACAAAACAUAGAUUUCUUACCUUAUUCUCUAUUUAAUUUUAAAAUCAUUAAAUAUAGUCAAUACUCUU